GAGAAAUCUGUUUGAAUGUUGCAUGCUUGGAAGAAACGCAGCGGUUGAUACGGCCAAAAUAGUUACAUCUCUAAUAUUCACCGUUAUCUGCCUAUUCAAUUUACCACUUGUACGAAGAUCAUUGCAACUUUCAAGCAACUAUGUAAGUUUCUCACUCUUUUGUGAUUUCAGGCGGCAAUAUCGAAUUUUAUCACUUGAAAAUGAGACAUGAAA
Molecule: long non-coding RNA, 213 nt
Filed under: Neodiprion lecontei (redheaded pine sawfly)
Lineage: Eukaryota; Metazoa; Arthropoda; Insecta; Hymenoptera; Diprionidae
Description: uncharacterized LOC124292642
Source: RNAcentral